Long non-coding RNA from Daphnia magna, 686 nucleotides. RefSeq lists it as uncharacterized. NCBI's taxonomy places the organism in Eukaryota, Metazoa, Arthropoda, Branchiopoda, Diplostraca, Daphniidae. The transcript is spliced from 2 exons. The record is from RefSeq and is a predicted model, not a curated record.
UGUGUGACUACGGCGGUGGCUCUCAGCGGCUGACUCACUCCUCCAUCCGGUCCUUUUGAAAAAUCAGCCAGAGCCAGUUCUAGAGCUGAAACAAGUUCUUCAUACUUCAAAGAAACUUUGACGUCAUCGGGGCCGUAAUACGACUUCUGAACACGCCGUAGGCAAACAGAUACGACUUACUACGUCUGCACCGUAGACGAAAAUGUUUUCAUUUUGACAUUUUAAGCACCUCAAAUGUGGCUUAUGGAUAAACAAAUACGUGAUAAUCUGGCCCAGCCGCCUCGUUAACUAAUCGACGUGAGCACUUACCAAGAAAGGAUUCCUAAGGACAUGUUUAAUGAAAAUCGUUAUUUAUAAGCAGUUCACGGUGAACUGUAUCUCAUCCACGGUGUGGAUUUAGCAAACUACAACCUGCUGCCUUAGUCCUUCAAAUUCAGCCAAGUCAUUUAGAAUUUUGUAAUAUGUUUGAGAAAACAUACUAGUUUUACACUCUAAAGGUUACAUUGGAGUAUCUCUAAUCACGAACUGUAAUCUAUAGCAACAAAGCAGACCUAGCAAUAUCACCAUGACGGCCAUGAUUUUGAUAUCACGGUUCCCUGCAGUGGCUGCAAAAGCAGAUUUAAACCGAUUUAAACUCACAUAAAAAUAUGUCACGUGGAAAGCAAAAUAAAUGUUUUAUACUAGUA